Molecule: ribosomal RNA, 859 nt
Filed under: Fuscoporia scruposa
Lineage: Eukaryota; Fungi; Basidiomycota; Agaricomycetes; Hymenochaetales; Hymenochaetaceae
Description: Fuscoporia sp. CL-2018d partial large subunit ribosomal RNA
Rfam family: Eukaryotic large subunit ribosomal RNA
Source: RNAcentral
UUCCCCUAGUAACUGCGAGUGAAGCGGGAAAAGCUCAAAUUUAAAAUCUGGUGGUUUUGCCAUCCGAGUUGUAAUCUGGAGAAGCGUUUUCUGUGCUGGACCGUGUACAAGUCUCUUGGAACAGAGCGUCAUAGAGGGUGAGAAUCCCGUCCAUGACACGGACACCCAGUGCUAUGUGAUACGUUUUCAAAGAGUCGAGUUGUUUGGGAAUGCAGCUCAAAAUGGGUGGUAAGCUCCAUCUAAAGCUAAAUAUUGGCGAGAGACCGAUAGCGAACAAGUACCGUGAGGGAAAGAUGAAAAGCACUUUGGAAAGAGAGUUAAACAGUACGUGAAAUUGUUGAAAGGGAAACGCUUGAAGUUAGUCGCGUCUUACUUGACUCAGCCUUGCUUCGGCUUGGUGUAUUUCAUGUGAGACGGGUCAACAUCGAUUUUGACCGGCAGACAAGGGGAGUAAGAAUGUGGCACUNUUCGGAGUGUGUUAUAGCUUAUUCUCAUAUGUGUCGGUUGGGAUCGAGGACCGCAGCGCGCCCUUGUGGCCGGAGGUUCGCCUCACGUUACGCGCUUAGGAUGUUGGCAUAAUGGCUUUAAGCGACCCGUCUUGAAACACGGACCAAGGAGUCUAACAUGCUCGCGAGUGUUAGGGUGGAAAACCCUUGCGCAGAAUGAAAGUAAAAGUUGGGAACCUCCGCAAGGGGGCGCACCGACGCCCGGCCCAGAAGUUUACGGACGGUGCUGCGGUAGAGCGCGUAUGUUGGGACCCGAAAGAUGGUGAACUAUGCCUGAAUAGGGCGAAGCCAGGGGAAACCCUGUGUGGAGGCUCGUAGCGAUUCUGACGUGCAAAUCGAUCGUCAAAUUUGGG